UACGGGGGGGGCAAGCGUUGUUCGGAAUUACUGGGCGUAAAGGGGACGUAGGCGGCCAACUAAGUCCGACGUGAAAUCCCAAGGCUUAACCUUGGAACUGCGUCGGAUACUGGAUGGCUUGAAUUCGGGAGAGGGAUGCAGAAUUCCAGGUGUAGCGGUGAAAUGCGUAGAUAUCUGGAGGAACACCGGUGGCGAAGGCGGUUCUCUGGGCAUUACCUGACGCUCAGGCACGAAAGCUAGGGGAGCGAACAGG
Molecule: ribosomal RNA, 253 nt
Filed under: uncultured bacterium
Lineage: Bacteria
Description: partial 16S ribosomal RNA
Rfam family: Bacterial small subunit ribosomal RNA
Source: RNAcentral